GAUGAACGCUAGCUACAGGCUUAACACAUGCAAGUCGAGGGGUAGCACGGAGGAAGCUUGCUUCCUUGGGUGACGACCGGCGCACGGGUGAGUAACGCGUAUCCUACCUACCCAUUACUCGGGCACAGCCGCUCGAAAGAGUGAUUGAUUCCCGAUAUGUCAUUGGAGUAGAUUCAAUGAUGAAAGAUUCAUCGGUAAUGGAUGGGGAUGCGUAAGAUUAGGUAGUAGGCGGGGUAACGGCCCACCUAGCCGACGAUCUUUAGGGGUUCUGAGAGGAAGGUCCCCCACACUGGUACUGAGACACGGACCAGACUCCUACGGGAGGCAGCAGUGAGGAAUAUUGGUCAAUGGGCGGAAGCCUGAACCAGCCAAGUAGCGUGAAGGAUUACAGCCCUACGGGUUUUAAACUUCUUUUAUGAGGGAAUAAAACCUCCCACGUGUGGGAGCUUGUAUGUACCUUAUGAAUAAGCAUCGGCUAACUCCGUG
Molecule: ribosomal RNA, 486 nt
Filed under: uncultured bacterium
Lineage: Bacteria
Description: bacterial SSU rRNA
Rfam family: Bacterial small subunit ribosomal RNA
Source: RNAcentral